Long non-coding RNA from Peromyscus eremicus (cactus mouse), 611 nucleotides. RefSeq lists it as uncharacterized. Lineage: Eukaryota; Metazoa; Chordata; Mammalia; Rodentia; Cricetidae. The record is from RefSeq and is a predicted model, not a curated record. The transcript is spliced from 3 exons.
AAAGGGGUCAGCUUCUGAUCGACAGGCCACCUAAGUAACCAGAUCCAGACCCCUCAGACAUGACCAACGACACAUGAAACCUGUGCCAUGUCAUCUGUAGGUCAGGCUGAGGGAAAAAAAGUAUGAAGAAGAGCCUGGACCAUCAGCCCGAAGCAGCCUAGAAAUCAGGCCCUAAUCAAAGAUUUGGAAAUGAUGCCAUGGGGAGUAACCAGCAUCCUCCAGUUCAGGUGGCUGUGGCUAUAAAUGAGGCGGAUGCCAUGAGUCCAGCAGCGGAAGAAGACUCCAGGUUCCGGCAGGAAAAGCAUUCCUCUGGGGGAAGCAGACUGAGGAGAGAAGGGAAGAAUAACACAGAAGGAACCAGAGAGAGAAAACAGGAACAACAGGCCUUAUGAUCAUAGAAACUGUGAGAUCCAGACGUGCUUGAAGCUAGAUGUAUCCUUGAAAAGCAAGCUUUAAAAAAAAAAUGGGGCUGGAGAGAUGGCUCAGCGGUUAAGAGCACUGGCUAUUCUUCUAAAGGUCCUGAGUUCAAUUCCCAGCAACCACAUGGUGGCUCACAACCAUCUAUAAUGAGAUCUGAUGCCCUCUUCUGGCCUGCAGGCAAAGUAUGCAGG